GUUACACUCGCUGUUGGCUGAGGACUAAAACUGAAACUUUCCCUAUUAAAAAGGAGAACAAAUCCAGCCGUUCCAUUUGCAAAAUACCAAAGAUAAAGGUGAAGAAGAGCCUGAAGAGAGAGAGAUGUGCUACGAGGAAAAUUGUUCAACGUGUGGCAAAACCAGCUGGGGCGGCUGCGGAAGGCACGUUCCGGCGGUGUAUAAACGAAUUCCGCAAGGCCAACACUGCCAGUGCAAGGGAUGGCCCGGUGUCAAAUCUGGCGAUAAUUCUGAGUCCUCCGGCGUCGGCACCGACAAGUCUAAGGCUUCAUCGUACUGUACUAUUCUGUGAAGAAUUUGCGUUCAUUUAAUGCAACUUUCUGUUAUGCUGGUUUUGUUGCCUAAAAGGGAUUCAUUUUGUCUUGUAAUUUUACAAUAACAUAAAUGAAUCCUAGCUAAUUAUAAAACUUGAAUUUCUGUUUAAUUUUAUUUGAAUUCGUAAUUUUAGAAUAGAACAAAGGAUUUCAUUGCCA
This 512-nucleotide long non-coding RNA is filed under the name Olea europaea subsp. europaea. Lineage: Eukaryota; Viridiplantae; Streptophyta; Magnoliopsida; Lamiales; Oleaceae. The record is from RNAcentral.